This 373-nucleotide ribosomal RNA is filed under the name uncultured organism. Its description in RNAcentral is "bacterial SSU rRNA". It matches the Rfam family "Bacterial small subunit ribosomal RNA", at positions 527 to 896 of the family's 1533-position model. The record is from RNAcentral.
GGUAGGUGCAAGCGUUAGUCCGGAAUUAUUGGGCGUAAAGGGCGCGUAGGCGGUACCUUAAGUCAGAUGUGAAAACCCGAGGCUUAACUUCGGAGGUGCAUUUGAAACUGGGGAACUAGAGUGCAGGAGAGGUAAGCGGAAUUCCUAGUGUAGCGGUGAAAUGCGUAGAUAUUAGGAGGAACACCAGUGGCGAAGGCGACUUACUGGACUGUAACUGACCGCUGAGGCGCGAAAGCGUGGGGAGCAAACAGGAUUAGAUACCCUGGUAGUCCACGCUGUAAACGAUGGAUACUAGGUGUGGGAGGUAUCGACCCCUUCCGUGCCGCAGUAAACGCAAUAAGUAUCCCGCCUGGGGAGUACGGCCGCAAGGUUG